RNAcentral lists this ribosomal RNA (118 nucleotides) under Pteropus alecto (black flying fox). The record is from RNAcentral. Lineage: Eukaryota; Metazoa; Chordata; Mammalia; Chiroptera; Pteropodidae.
GUCUGUGGCCGUGCUACUCUGAACAAGCCAGAUCCCGUCUGAUCUCGGAAGCUAAGCAGGGUCGGGUCUGGUUAGUACUUGGAUGGGAGACCACAUAGGAAGACCAGUUCUAUAGGCA